UACGUAGGGUGCUAGCGUUGUCCGGAUUUAUUGGGCGUAAAGGGCUCGUAGGCGGCGUGUCGCGUCUGCUGUGAAAACCCGAGGCUCAACCUCGGGCCUGCAGUGGGUACGGGCAGACUAGAGUGCGGUAGGGGAGAAUGGAACUCCUGGUGUAGCGGUGGAAUGCGCAGAUAUCAGGAAGAACACCGAUGGCGAAGGCAGUUCUCUGGGCCGUAACUGACGCUGAGGAGCGAAAGCGUGGGGAGCGAACAGG
This 253-nucleotide ribosomal RNA is filed under the name uncultured bacterium. RNAcentral's name for it is "partial 16S ribosomal RNA". It matches the Rfam family "Bacterial small subunit ribosomal RNA", at positions 524 to 776 of the family's 1533-position model. The record is from RNAcentral.